GGCGGAGUGGCCGAGUGGCUCAGGCAAGGGACUGCAAAUCCCUCUACACGGGUUCAAUUCCCGUCUCCGCUU
This 72-nucleotide transfer RNA is filed under the name Murinocardiopsis flavida. RNAcentral's name for it is "Nocardiopsis sp. 14-Be-013 tRNA". It matches the Rfam family "tRNA". Rfam says of the family: Transfer RNA (tRNA) molecules are approximately 80 nucleotides in length. Their secondary structure includes four short double-helical elements and three loops (D, anti-codon, and T loops). Lineage: Bacteria; Bacillati; Actinomycetota; Actinomycetes; Streptosporangiales; Nocardiopsidaceae. The record is from Rfam by way of RNAcentral.